Molecule: ribosomal RNA, 253 nt
Filed under: uncultured bacterium
Lineage: Bacteria
Description: partial 16S ribosomal RNA
Rfam family: Bacterial small subunit ribosomal RNA
Source: RNAcentral
UACGGGGGGGGCAGGCGUUGUUCGGAAUUACUGGGCGUAAAGGGCUCGUAGGCGGCCAACUAAGUCGGAUGUGAAAUCCCCAGGCUUAACUUGGGAACUGCAUCCGAUACUGGAUGGCUUGAAUCCGGGAGAGGGAUGCGGAAUUCCAGGUGUAGCGGUGAAAUGCGUAGAUAUCUGGAGGAACACCGGUGGCGAAGGCGGCAUCCUGGACCGGCAUUGACGCUGAUGAGCGAAAGCCAGGGGAGCAAACGGG